CCAGAAAGGCAUUGGUACAGAGAGGUGGGGCUCCUCCCCAGGUCUCAACCAGCCCCCACCCACUCUGGGCUCGGCCUGGUGGUCUUUAAGAGAGAUAUUUGCCGACUGACCUGCCUGUCACUUAUACUGGGAACCUAGGUCUAGCUCACUGCCCCAGGCAUGAUGCGGGUCCCAGCGCUGCUUCUGGUUUUCCUGGCUCCUGUCAUGCAGGUGUCUUCCAACAUGGAAGGGGAGAAGAUGUCAAUUACUAAGGCAGCUGUGCCUGGGGCAUUUGUUGAAAUCAUUUGUGAUCUUAUCACCCAAACCGUCAAAUAUAUCCACUGGUACAAGUACCAGGAGGGCACAGCUCCCCGACGCCUUCUUUACUACGACAUCUCCUACUCAAAGAUUGUGUUGGAAUCAGGAAUCAGUGAAGGGAAGUACAAAGUUUAUAAAGAGAAGAGCUAUACUUUUGCAAUCUCAAACCUGCAAGAAAGUGAUUCUGGAAUGUACUACUGUGCUGUCUGGGAGAAGCACGUUGGUUUAGACUUCCUUUACACUGCACUGGAAAUUUUGCUUGUCACGGCCAAGCACAGCCAUGAUAGAGACUUUGAUGUAGACAUGUCCCCCAAGCCCACUAUGUUUCUUCCUUCAAUUCCUGAAAUCAACUGCGAUAAUGCUGGAACGUACCUUUGUCUUCUGAAGAAAUUUCCCCUCAUGUUAUUAAGGUUUAUUGGAGAGAGAAAAAUGGCAACAGAGUUCUGCCAUCCCAACAGGGAAACACCACAAAGACCACUGACAUAUACUUGAAGUUCAGCUGAUUAACCAUGACUGAAAAUGCAUGGAGAAAGAACACAUACGUAUCAUCAAACAUGAGAAAAAUAAAAGAGGAAAAGAUCAGGAGAUCUUUUUUCCUUCAGUUAGUCAAGUUGUCACUUCAAUUGUCAUUACUAUUGAACUUCCAAAUAAUGGUUUGAUGGAUGAAAGUGAAGUCACUGAUGUUCAUUCUACAAAAGCACGUCUGAACGAUGGAAACAAUACCCUGCAACUACAGCUCAUGAACACCUCUGCCUACUACACCUACUUCCUCCUCAUCCUCAAGAGUGUGGUCUAUUUUGUCAUCAUCACCUUCUCUGUGUUUACAAGAGGCAUCUGCUGUGAUGGAAAGAGCUCGUGA
Capra hircus (goat) is the source of this 1156-nucleotide RNA transcript. It is a transcript of the gene named T-cell receptor gamma chain C region DFL12-like, with no coding region annotated. Lineage: Eukaryota; Metazoa; Chordata; Mammalia; Artiodactyla; Bovidae. The transcript has 6 exons. The record is from RefSeq and is a predicted model, not a curated record.